GAAGGUAUAGCUCAGUGGUAGAGCGCAUGCUUAGCAUGCACAAGGUCCUGGGUUCGAUCCCCAGUACUGCCA
This 72-nucleotide transfer RNA is filed under the name Camelus bactrianus (Bactrian camel). It matches the Rfam family "tRNA". Rfam says of the family: Transfer RNA (tRNA) molecules are approximately 80 nucleotides in length. Lineage: Eukaryota; Metazoa; Chordata; Mammalia; Artiodactyla; Camelidae. RNAcentral also lists the same sequence under 2 other names. The record is from Rfam by way of RNAcentral.